RNAcentral lists this ribosomal RNA (502 nucleotides) under uncultured Glomeromycotina. RNAcentral describes it as "partial small subunit ribosomal RNA". It matches the Rfam family "Eukaryotic small subunit ribosomal RNA", at positions 591 to 1092 of the family's 1831-position model. The record is from RNAcentral. Lineage: Eukaryota; Fungi; Glomeromycota.
CCAAUAGCGUAUAUUAAAGUUGUUGCAGUUAAAAAGCUCGUAGUUGAAUUUCGGAGUUUGUCGGUUGGUCGGGCUUCACUGUCCGCACUGGCCUGAUGGAUUCCUACCUUCUGAAUAACCAGCAUGCUAUUAAGUUAGUGCGUUGGGGAAGCAGAGCUAUUACCUUGAAAAAAUUAGAGUGCUUAAAGCAGGCUUUUGCUUGAAUAGAUUAGCAUGGAAUAAUAAAAUAGGACGGCAUGGUUCUAUUUUGUUGGUUUCUAGGAUCACCGUAAUGAUUAAUAGGGAUAGUUGGGGGCAUUAGUAUUCAAUUGUCAGAGGUGAAAUUCUUGGAUUUAUUGAGGACUAACUUCUGCGAAAGCAUUUGCCAAGGAUGUUUUCAUUAAUCAAGAACGAAAGUUAGGGGAUCGAAGACGAUCAGAUACCGUCGUAGUCUUAACCAUAAACUAUGCCGACUAGGGAUCGGACGAUGCUAAUUUUUUAAUGACUCGUUCGGCGCCUUACG